UUUGUCCGGAUUUGGUGCGUUUUGUUGGCCCGAUUUGGUACGAUCAGCUAAAUCGGAUUGGCACUGCAGCGUUCAUACCACCAGGACGAUGAGGACACCAUUGGAAGAGCUCUUCUUGAAAACACAGAAAUGGAGACAGUAAAGGCAAUGCUAUAUAAAUUUUGGCAAAAAAGAGAAAAGGAAAGAAAGGAAGAGGAGACGUAAAGAAACUCAAAAGACCCAGACCGAGAAAGACCACAGACCCAGAAAAAGCACCGGCAAGAGGAAACCAAGCGUGACAUGUGUGAAGCUGAAAACGAAGACCUGCGACACUUCCUGCUCUGGCGCCCGGCAUAUGCAGAGGAAAGAAUAAAGUGCGUGAGGCUGCAACAGCCUUACGAGGAAGAAGAGGACGACACCAUUGGAAAAAUUUUAUUUGAAAAUGAACACACCGAACAAACGAAAAUAAACAGUACACAAGUUUUGGACAAUAAGAGGAAAAAAGAAUGAAAGAAAAAGGAAAACAAUAGACCCAGACAGUAGACACAUGAGGGAGUGCCGUUACAAAGGCAAAACUCCCGACCGACUACUACUACUAUUACACAUCAGGGAGUGCCGUUACAAAGGCAGGACUCCCGACCGACAACUCAACUCAACUCAACCAAAGAAGAUGAAGAAGUCGCCUGUCCUGCCUGUACCGCCCUUAGCCAUCCUCAGCGCCCUGCCAAGGAAGACAGGCCAACGAGCACAGAAGCCACACCCGUGAAUGCUGUCAUGGCCACUCUGCCGCACACCACCAGGGCGAGGAAUGCCUUCGAGAACAUGACAGUCCUUCAACAAUAAGAUGAGGCUACAGCUAUCACCAUCAACACAUCUCCCCUACCAUAUAUCAGUCCAUGGCCACCAUGGAUUUUCUAUAAUAGUGACCAAAAAAACUGACCACAUUUCAUUCACCUAAACUGGAUCACUCCCAACAGUGUCUGAAUCCCUGGCCAAAUGUCAGACACCCUGCAUGCCAACAGGCAAUCAGCACUGUCCUCACUCACUCCGCUAAGAGUUUGGGAUCCAGCUUGAGUGAAUGGACUAUAGCUUGGACCUCCCACCACAUCUCCACCUACACGUCAUCUCUGGUCUUCAGAAGUGUACGUAG
Molecule: long non-coding RNA, 1129 nt
Organism: Eriocheir sinensis (Chinese mitten crab)
Lineage: Eukaryota; Metazoa; Arthropoda; Malacostraca; Decapoda; Varunidae
Exons: 3
Source: RefSeq, a predicted model, not a curated record